Non-coding RNA from Equus caballus (horse), 470 nucleotides. Lineage: Eukaryota; Metazoa; Chordata; Mammalia; Perissodactyla; Equidae. The record is from the annotation of a RefSeq genome assembly.
GCCAUUUCCUGUUCUGAAGCAGAAGCAUCACCGAGCACAGAGGAGAGCCCAGGCCAGAGCAAGAGACUUCUCACCCUGCAGGGGAGAGCUAUCAGCAUGGCACUUGUUAGCUUGCUGUGGGCGGUCGUGGUCUCCACCUGUCUUGGAUCCAGCAUGGCCCAGACGGUCACUCAGCCUCAACCAGAAAUGUCUGUGCCCGAGGCAGAGACUGCGACCCUGAACUGCGUGUAUGACACUAGUGAGAGUAAUUAUUAUUUGUUCUGGUACAAACAGCCUCCCAGCGGGGAGAUGAUUCUCAUUAUUCGCCAAGAAGCUUAUAAGCAACAGAAUGCAACAAAUAACCGCUUCUCCGUGAACUUCCAGAAAGCAGACAAAUCCUUCAGUCUCAGGAUCUCAGACUCCCAGCUGGAGGAUGCUGCAGUGUAUUUCUGUGCUUUCAUGAGGGCACAGUGAAGCAAGCAACAGGGAGA